Molecule: ribosomal RNA, 253 nt
Filed under: uncultured bacterium
Lineage: Bacteria
Description: partial 16S ribosomal RNA
Rfam family: Bacterial small subunit ribosomal RNA
Source: RNAcentral
UACGUAGGGUGCAAGCGUUGUCCGGAAUCAUUGGGCGUAAAGCGCGCGUAGGCGGCCCGAUAAGUCCGCUGUAAAAGUCAACGGCUCAACUGUUGAAAGCCGGUGGAUACUGUCGGGCUAGAGUACGGAAGAGGCAAGUGGAAUUCCUGGUGUAGCGGUGAAAUGCGUAGAUAUCGAGAGGAACACCUGCGGCGAAGGCGGGUUGCUGGGCUGAUACUGACGCUGAGGCGCGAAAGCCAGGGGAGCGAACGGG